GGGAAUGUAGUUCAAUUGAUAUAGCAUUUGCCCAGGAUGUAGAAAGCUCUGGGUUCAAUCCCCAGCAUUGCCC
Molecule: transfer RNA, 73 nt
Filed under: Neotoma lepida (desert woodrat)
Lineage: Eukaryota; Metazoa; Chordata; Mammalia; Rodentia; Cricetidae
Rfam family: tRNA
About the family: Transfer RNA (tRNA) molecules are approximately 80 nucleotides in length. Their secondary structure includes four short double-helical elements and three loops (D, anti-codon, and T loops). Further hydrogen bonds mediate the characteristic L-shaped molecular structure. tRNAs have two regions of fundamental functional importance: the anti-codon, which is responsible for specific mRNA codon recognition, and the 3' end, to which the tRNAs corresponding amino acid is attached (by aminoacyl-tRNA synthetases). tRNAs cope with the degeneracy of the genetic code in two manners: having more than one tRNA (with a specific anti-codon) for a particular amino acid; and 'wobble' base-pairing, i.e. permitting non-standard base-pairing at the 3rd anti-codon position.
Source: Rfam by way of RNAcentral